CGGGACACGUGGUAUCCUGUCUGAAUAUGGGGGGACCAUCCUCCAAGGCUAAAUACUCCUGACUGACCGAUAGUGAACCAGUACCGUGAGGGAAAGGCGAAAAGAACCCCGGCGAGGGGAGUGAAAAAGAACCUGAAACCGUGUACGUACAAGCAGUGGGAGCACGCUUAGGCGUGUGACUGCGUACCUUUUGUAUAAUGGGUCAGCGACUUAUAUUCUGUAGCAAGGUUAACCGAAUAGGGGAGCCGAAGGGAAACCGAGUCUUAACUGGGCGUUAAGUUGCAGGGUAUAGACCCGAAACCCGGUGAUCUAGCCAUGGGCAGGUUGAAGGUUGGGUAACACUAACUGGAGGACCGAACCGACUAAUGUUGAAAAAUUAGCGGAUGACUUGUGGCUGGGGGUGAAAGGCCAAUCAAACCGGGAGAUAGCUGGUUCUCCCCGAAAGCUAUUUAGGUAGCGCCUCGUGAAUUCAUCUCCGGGGGUAGAGCACUGUUUCGGCAAGGGGGUCAUCCCGACUUACCAACCCGAUGCAAACUGCGAAUACCGGAGAAUGUUAUCACGGGAGACACACGGCGGGUGCUAACGUCCGUCGUGAAGAGGGAAACAACCCAGACCGCCAGCUAAGGUCCCAAAGUCAUGGUUAAGUGGGAAACGAUGUGGGAAGGCCCAGACAGCCAGGAUGUUGGCUUAGAAGCAGCCAUCAUUUAAAGAAAGCGUAAUAGCUCACUGGUCGAGUCGGCCUGCGCGGAAGAUGUAACGGGGCUAAACCAUGCACCGAAGCUGCGGCAGCGACGCUGAUGCGUUGUUGGGUAGGGGAGCGUUCUGUAAGCCUGCGAAGGUGUGCUGUGAGGCAUGCUGGAGGUAUCAGAAGUGCGAAUGCUGACAUAAGUAACGAUAAAGCGGGUGAAAAGCCCGCUCGCCGGAAGACCAAGGGUUCCUGUCCAACGUUAAUCGGGGCAGGGUGAGUCGACCCCUAAGGCGAGGCCGAAAGGCGUAGUCGAUGGGAAACAGGUUAAUAUUCCUGUACUUGGUGUUACUGCGAAGGGGGGACGGAGAAGGCUAUGUUGGCCGGGCGACGGUUGUCCCGGUUUAAGCGUGUAGGCUGGUUUUCCAGGCAAAUCCGGAAAAUCAAG
RNAcentral lists this ribosomal RNA (1133 nucleotides) under Escherichia coli. Its description in RNAcentral is "partial 23S ribosomal RNA". It matches the Rfam family "Bacterial large subunit ribosomal RNA", at positions 418 to 1554 of the family's 2925-position model. Lineage: Bacteria; Pseudomonadati; Pseudomonadota; Gammaproteobacteria; Enterobacterales; Enterobacteriaceae. The record is from RNAcentral.